GGUUCAAGUCCCUCUAUCCCCAAUAAAAUAAAACCCC
RNAcentral lists this transfer RNA (37 nucleotides) under Hydrilla verticillata (hydrilla). RNAcentral's name for it is "partial tRNA-Leu". Lineage: Eukaryota; Viridiplantae; Streptophyta; Magnoliopsida; Alismatales; Hydrocharitaceae. The record is from RNAcentral.